RNAcentral lists this ribosomal RNA (301 nucleotides) under uncultured bacterium. Its description in RNAcentral is "partial 16S ribosomal RNA". It matches the Rfam family "Bacterial small subunit ribosomal RNA", at positions 509 to 807 of the family's 1533-position model. The record is from RNAcentral.
CAGUAGCCACGGUAAAACGAAGGGGGCUAGCGUUGCUCGGAAUGACUGGGCGUAAAGGGCGCGUAGGCGGUUGACACAGUCAGAUGUGAAAUUCCUGGGCUCAACCUGGGGGCUGCGCUUGAUACUUGGUUGCUUGAGUGGGGAAGAGGGUCGUGGAAUUCCCAGUGUAGAGGUGAAAUUCGUAGAUAUUGGGAAGAACACCGGUGGCGAAGGCGGCGACCUGGUCCUUGACUGACGCUGAGGCGCGAAAGCGUGGGGAGCAAACAGGAUUAGAGACCCCAGUAGUCCCUGUCUCUUAUAC